This 1476-nucleotide long non-coding RNA is filed under the name Sus scrofa (pig). RNAcentral describes it as "lncRNA (ENSSSCG00065073531.1)". Lineage: Eukaryota; Metazoa; Chordata; Mammalia; Artiodactyla; Suidae. The record is from RNAcentral.
CAGAACUUUUGACUUCUCAGAGAAAAUCUACUCCCUAUCCAAAAAUGUAUGUUGAAGCUAAUCCUUCAUCACAACUCUUAGUGUAAGACAGAGCUCAGCAAUCUGCAAUCCUUGGGCCCAAAUCCAGCCCACAAUGUGUUUUCAUAAAUAACAUUUCAUUGGCAAACAGCCAUCCUCAUUCAUUGUCUGUGGCUGCUUUCAUGCUACAAUGGCAGAACUGCGUGGCUGUGACAGAAACCAUUUGGCCCACGAAAUCUAAAACAUUUACUAUCUGGUCCAUUACAAAAAAAGUUUGUUGAUUGCUGACCUAAGCCACCAUUGUUUCAUGCCUACCUAACUGUCAUGACCUUCUGCUUCUGUAGAUUUUCUUCCAUUAUUUUUCCUCAUUAUCACCCAGAAGUCGGAAUGAUGUUCUUAAAACACAAAUCAUAUCCUGUCACUCUCCCAAUUACAAAGCUCUAAUUGUUCAAUCAUAUUCGUAAUAAAAGCCACACUCUGUGUUAUGACUUACAGGGCUAUAAAUGAUCAGAACCUAUUCUCCUCUUCAACUUUAUUUCCUACAACCUUUUUUCUAACUCACUAGAUACCAGCCAUGCAGCCUUUUCACUCUUCCUCAAAGAAAGUACUUUCACUUUGCAGGGGCUUUGCACUGAUUUUGCCAUCUGCCUAAAGCACUUGGGGUCCACAUAUCCCUAAGGCUCCUUCUUUUCAUGAUUCGGGUGUCUGCUCCAGUAUCAUCUCCUCUGCUGAAAGAAUGUCAUUUUCCAUUUCACAGGGAUUUUGUCUCUUUCAGUCACUGCCAUGCCCACAGUGGCCUCAUAUUGGAGACUCUCGAUAUAUAACUGUUGAAGGUAUAAAUGGAUGUGUCCUAACAGAGAGAUAAGCAGAAGGGACUGUGGGAACAUAAAGCGAAGAUGCCUAUCACUAAAGGAUGCUUAUGAAGGCUAGAAAAGAAGGGACUCUAGAUGGGGAAGGAGUUUUUUUCAGAAAGGGGGGCAAAUAUGUCCAAAGAUAAAAAUGAUGAGGGAAGGUGACACACUUUGAAGCACAAAUAGAGGCACAUAUAAGAUGAACCAUAGAUAUACAUAUAGAUCAGGAUGGGGGUGGAGUGAAACAGACAUAAAGCAGCUGAUAAAAGACUUUGAAUAUCAGGCUAGGAUGUUUAUACUUUUCUGAGGUCAUUGAGAAAAUUACUGAAAACUAAAUAGAAUUAUAGCAUGAUCAGAAAUACUGAUAUCUGGAGUUACUGUCGUGGCUCAGCAGUAAUGAACCUGACUAGCAUCCAUGAGGACGCAGGUAUGAGCCUUGGCCUCGCUCAAUGGGUUAAGGAUCCAGCAAUGCAAUGAGCUGUGUUGUAGGUCAGAUGUGGUUUGGAUCCCACGUUGCUCUGACUCUGGCAAUUGGACCCCUACCUGGAAACCUCCAUAUGCCGUGGGUGUGGCCCUAAAAAGAUAAAAUGACAAAAAAAAAAAAAAA